UGGUGGGGACUCAUGGGAGACUGCCGGGGUCAACUCGGAGGAAGGUGAGGACGACGUCAAAUCAUCAUGCCCCUUAUGUCUUGGGCUUCACGCAUGCUACAAUGGCCGGUACAAUGGGUUGCGAUACUGUGAGGUGGAGCUAAUCCCAAAAAGCCGGUCUCAGUUCGGAUUGGGGUCUGCAACUCGACCCCAUGAAGUCGGAGUCGCUAGUAAUCGCAGAUCAGCAACGCUGCGGUGAAUACGUUCCCGGGCCUUGUACACACCGCCCGUCAAGUCACGAAAGUUGGUAACACCCGAAGCCGGUGGCCUAACCCUUGUGGGGGGAGCCGUCGAA
This 334-nucleotide ribosomal RNA is filed under the name Micrococcus sp. EKM201U. RNAcentral's name for it is "bacterial SSU rRNA". It matches the Rfam family "Bacterial small subunit ribosomal RNA", at positions 1129 to 1460 of the family's 1533-position model. Lineage: Bacteria; Bacillati; Actinomycetota; Actinomycetes; Micrococcales; Micrococcaceae. The record is from RNAcentral.